Molecule: ribosomal RNA, 492 nt
Filed under: uncultured bacterium
Lineage: Bacteria
Description: partial 16S ribosomal RNA
Rfam family: Bacterial small subunit ribosomal RNA
Source: RNAcentral
AUUGAACGCUGGCGGCAUGCUUUACACAUGCAAGUCGAACGGUAACAGGCCUUCGGGUGCUGACGAGUGGCGAACGGGUGAGUAAUGCAUCGGAACGUACCCAGAGGUGGGGGAUAACGCAGCGAAAGCUGUGCUAAUACCGCAUGUGAUCUGAGGAUGAAAGCGGGGGACCGAGCAGCAAUGUUUGGCCUCGCGCCUUUGGAGCGGCCGAUGUCGGAGUAGCUAGUUGGUGGGGUAAAGGCCUACCAAGGCGACGAUCCGUAGCUGGUCUGAGAGGACGACCAGCCACACUGGGACUGAGACACGGCCCAGACUCCUACGGGAGGCAGCAGUGGGGAAUUUUGGACAAUGGGCGCAAGCCUGAUCCAGCAAUGCCGCGUGCGGGAAGAAGGCCUUCGGGUUGUAAACCGCUUUUGGCAGGAACGAAACGGUGUCCGCUAAUACCGGGCGCUAAUGACGGUACCUGCAGAAUAAGCACCGGCUAACUACGUG